This 859-nucleotide long non-coding RNA is filed under the name Homo sapiens (human). RNAcentral describes it as "ZNF426 divergent transcript". Lineage: Eukaryota; Metazoa; Chordata; Mammalia; Primates; Hominidae. The record is from RNAcentral.
AGAAAAAUUCUACUUUCCAUCUGCUUGGCUGCGGAGGACCUUGGGGUGGGCUCAGCGUGGGGGCUGCAGGCAGAAAUGGGUCCAGAAGGCAAGGUCGAGGUUAGAGCCAAGCCUGUGGGCAGGGCUACGGGCAGGGGGCGGGGAGGAAUGUGGGUCCAGGCCCAGAGGAAAAGGUUGAAGUUAUAGCCAGGCCUGUGGGCGAGGCCGCAGCAGGGCGGCCAUAGGGGAAGGAGCCAAUGUGUUAUGCAUGUAGAAAAUAGACAAAAUCUCACUCUGUCACCAAGGCUGGAGUUCAGUGGAGCCAUCUCAGCUCACUGCAACCUCCACCUCCCAGGUUCAAGCGAUUCUCCUGCCUCAUCCUCCCAAGUAGCUGGAAUUACAGGUGCAUGCUGCCACACCCUGCUAAUUUUUGUAUUUUUAGUAGAGGCAGGGUUUUGCCAUGCUGGCCAGGCUGGUCUUGAACUACUUGUCAGGCCUCUGAGCCCAAGUUAAAUCAUCAUAAACCCUGUCACCUGCACGUAUACAUCCAGAUGGCCUGGAGCAACUGAAGAACCACAAAAGAAGUGAAACAGCCAGUUCCUGCCUUAACUGAUGACGUUCCACCAUUGUGAUUUGUUGCUGCCCCACCCCAACUGAUCUCUUGACCUUGUGACAUUCUUCUUCUGGACGAGUCUCAGGAGUUCCCCACCGAGCACCUUGUGACCCCCGGCCCUGCCAGCAAAAGAUAACCACCUUUAACUUUCCACUACCUACCCAAAUCCUAUAAAACUGCCCCACCCCUAUCUCCCUUUGCUGACCCCUUUCUCGGACUCAGCCCACUUGCACCCAAGUGAAUAAACAGCCUUGUUGCUAACACAAA